AGUAAAUAGAUACCCGGGUAGUCCACGCCGUAAACGAUGGGCACUAGGUGCUGGGGGGAGCGACCCCUUCAGUGCCGCAGCUAAACGCGAUAAGUGCCCCGCCUGGGGAGUACGGCCGCAAGGCUGAAACUCAAAGGAAUUGACGGGGGCCCGCGCAAGCGGUGGAGCAUGUGGUUUAAAUUCGAAGCAACGCGAAGAACCUUACCUAGGUUUGACAUGUAGCUGAAAGCCUCUGGAAACAGGGGCCCUUCUUCGGAACAGCUACACAGGUGCUGCAUGGCUGUCGUCAGCUCGUGUCGUGAGAUGUUGGGUUAAGUCCCGCAACGAGCGCAACCCUUGCCCCGUGUUACUAACAGGUAAAGCUGAGGACUCUCGGGGGACUGCCGGCGUCAAGCCGGAGGAAGGUGGGGACGACGUCAAGUCAUCAUGGCCCUUACGCCUAGGGCGACACACGUGCUACAAUGGCGAGGACAGAGGGCAGCGAAGCGGCAACGUGAAGCGAAUCCCAG
RNAcentral lists this ribosomal RNA (509 nucleotides) under uncultured bacterium. Its description in RNAcentral is "bacterial SSU rRNA". It matches the Rfam family "Bacterial small subunit ribosomal RNA", at positions 775 to 1277 of the family's 1533-position model. The record is from RNAcentral.